Molecule: RNA transcript, 4028 nt
Organism: Rosa rugosa (rugosa rose)
Lineage: Eukaryota; Viridiplantae; Streptophyta; Magnoliopsida; Rosales; Rosaceae
Exons: 5
Source: RefSeq, a predicted model, not a curated record
AGCACAGAGACAGACGGCUCCCCUCAAGUCUUUUGAGGGGCUUAUCCCUUCGAUUCAACCACUACCAAGUAGUCAAGUGAAAGUACCUGUGUCGUGAUCCCAUCUGAAUGAAGCCUGCACACUAGAGUCAGGGAAGCACCUCGUCUCAAUCUGUAACAGCUUGGAAGGGGAUGAGGAUAAGGUUAAGGUUGGGACAGUCAGUUUGUGUGUUGUAAACUAAAAGAGUGUUGUGUUGUUUCUAGAGAGAGGGGGGAGCUUCUCUCUCUACAUUCUCCACAACUGAAUGUUUGAUAUUGCUGGUAUAAAGUCUCUGCAGGUUCCUGGUGGCAUCUUUCAUAGACAUUCUAUCCGAUGUUCUUGCGGCAGCAGAAUCUCGAGACGACUUCGACGACGUCGCUUCCGCCGGGGACUUCAAGAAUGUACGGGCUCAUGGCGGGCUCGGUGUCGCGGGUUAUGAUGACGGGAGGCUUGGGCUUGUUCUUGGAGCCGGGAGGGCGGCCCCUGGGCCUGCGGCCGACUUCAAUGGUGGCGCCGUCGCCGUCAGUGGGGUUGUUGGGAUCUGAAACAAGCGGCUUGGUGGUUGUGCCGCUGCUGGUUCGGCUGGUGUCUUCUUCUUCAGAAGUUUGAGGCUGACAUUCGCGGACUAGGGUGAUCUGAAAUGGGUUGGAGAAAUGGUGGUGGUAGUGUUGCUGCUGGGGGUGGUGGGGGUGAGGAUGAGAUUGUGGGUUGUUAUGAUGGUGAAGCUUCGAGAACAUGUUUUGGGUUUCACUCUUGGUGUCACCACCUCCGUAUUCACCUUCCAUGGAAUGGCUUGAAUCUGUUCAGAUCCGUCCGAUCUGGGUUAGGUCCUCACAAUCACGUGUAUUGCGAAGAAGAAGAGUUGGAGAGUGUUAACUUUUCAUUAAGGGUAAUUAUGACAUUUUAUUGCUUCAUAAGGUUAUUUUUCAACUAUUUCAAAAAACCAGGCUAUAAUUCAAUUUGAAGAUCAAAAAAAGAUUAUUCUUUAAAAUUUCUCUCAUUUUAUGUUAUUUUUGGAACAAACAUUGGUCCUUUUAUUUGUGUAAUUAAUAAUUUGAUUUUAUAUGUCUCAUUUUAUUUGUUGAAGUAAUAUGCUUAUUAUUUGUUUUGGAGAAUGAUUUAUCCUGCAAAUUAUAUAAAAAAUUGAUUUCAUUUCAUUUUCUUGGAAUAAAAGAAAACAACGCGUUUAGAAACGCGCUAAAUUUGAGACCCUAAUACAUAGCACGACGCCGUAUUGGCAACCGACCCUUUCCUUUUCCUUGUCCUAUAUAUUCGGAGUCUGAGGAGAAUAAGAAGAUCACUCUCUGAAAUCACUGUGUGGGUCUUGCGUUUCAUAAGGGAUCUCCAAUUGCACUCGCUUCGCUUAUUUGUUUUCUUCUAUCACUCUUAGUUUCUGGGUUUUGCGCUUCAGAAUUGCAGCUAUGGGUUGCGAUUCUAAAAGAAGGCGUAGAGAGGAUGUGGGUGACACAACGAUUUCAUCAUCCAAGAAGCAAAAGCUGAUGCCGGUGACAGGUUUGGAGCAGACCCAAAAGCUUCUUUGUUGCGGCAUCUUGCAGGAGCUAAUUGAUCACCGUCUUGGCGCUGUGGCUGUUCGAAUCCCUGAUUCUCAGGAGGUUCGAAGGCCUAUGGAUCUGUCCACCGUCAAAUCCAAGUUGGAGAGAGACAACUACUCCAGUAUUGAUGCCUUUGUGGCCGAUGUCAGGCUUACCUUCCAAAACGUGUUAUGGUGUUACCCUCUUGGAGCUAAACAGCGUGCAAUGGCCAGGAAUCUUGUUUGGAUAGGUUUGUGUCUCCUAUUAGUCCAGUGAGUCCAUUAAGUCUUAAACAACUCAACAACAACAACAACAAAAGAGAGGCCAAGAGGUCAUCCAGAAACCUUGACGAAAAGAAGGGUUCUGCUUCUGCUAUCACUUCUGCAGUGGAUAAAGAUAAGGAACACCGAAUCAAGCGCGGCCUUGACGAAGGGAAGGGUUCUGCUUCUGCUAUCACUUGUGCAGUGAAUAAAUAUAAGGAGCUCCGAAUCAAGCGGCUAAGGGAACAGGCUCGUAAGGAAAUUUUGAGGGUUGAAGAGGCUGCUCGCUUGAAAGUCGAGAAUCCUUUACAAGAUCUUCAACAACUCAAGUUGUUGUGCAGUGGUGGCAUCAAACAGGAUUCUUGUUACAGGGUUUAUCGUUGGUUGCCACUUGAGAAGUUGGGCAUCUAUUUGAAGAGGGAUGAACUUGAAGAUGUUGAUGAGGAUGAAUUUCGCAUUGGAGAUUGGGAAGAAGGUGAAAUCCGUUGAUGGAGCUCGCAGAAUUUCCAUUUUACUUAAUUGAUUAUCACUUCUUUAACUUGAAAUUCUUUGUUGAAAUUAAAGAAACUGAAAACAGUUUCUUCUCUAAUUGUCUGUCCCUUGCAUUGUGAUUUGUUAUGGUGAGCAGAUGGAGAACAGAGUCCACAAACAACUAAAUAUUACAUCCACAUAUGGUGGCAUAUCAUCAUCAUCGUCAAGUACAUACUGCUGCGUAGCAAAAUUUAUUCUAUGUACAAAAAUUCAUGUACAUAGAAUAAAUUUUGUAUUUAGUGUGCUCCAAUAUUUGCUGUACUUGGUUGAGUAUUGAGGAGUUCUCUUCCAAGGCUUGACAGAGGGGUGGUAGUGGAACUCUAUUGAAGAUGUAUUUCCCAGGUCAGGCAUUUGCCAAGAAUCAUUGUCGACCCGUGUAUACAAAGUCCGAUCUUAAGAAUCAAAAAUGUGCUCAUUCGACAGUGGCAGAAAGAGCAAGGUCCAAAAUUUGCACAAGUUUUCUAAGUGUUGGAUUGCUUUCAUUACAUAUGGUAGGUUGCCUCAUGAGUUGGCAAGUAGUCUAACCACUCUAGUCCUUAAAGUGGUAGAUCUGAAGACUGUGGUCCCCAAGUGAGGAAACUAAUUAGUCCUACCCAAGUGCAUAAGGUUCAUUUUGGAAGGUUUGUUUCCGGCAUAUUGCUAGUUUCUCAAGAGAUUCUUCAUACCUUCAAGGACACUAAGAUUUACAAGUUAAGGUCUAUGUUAAACUAAAGUGGAAACUGAUUGAAGGGGUACUAAGCAGGAGUGCCAAUUCUGGGUUACUUGUACUGAACUCUCCAUCUUUUCUUUCAAGGAAGACUUUCAGAGGUCUUCUGGCCGGUUUGCAUACCUUAUACAACUUUAUAUUCAACGGUGUACUACUUUCAAAGAUUGCUGGAAGGAAUUGGGAAAUUACUUUCAUCAUCAAGGUCAUCAACUAUGUGGAAACAUACCUACCAUUGCCUUUGCUUAUGAAGAAUUUGGAAGUGCAGGACUCAGAAGAUAUAUGAGCGUUGCGAGCUGUGCGUUUAUUGAUGGCUCAGGUUAACCAUCGAGUCUGUACGCUGUUGCUACAGCUCAGCAUAGGAGCUAAGACAACUAAACAGCAUUAACUACUGGCAAUUGCCACCACUAGGUUAUGUGGAUUGCCAUGGUCUCAUGGAGCAUGGAUAAAGGGACUACAAGUACUAGCUGGAGGAGCGGGUUGCAUUAUAUGGAAUGAAAAUGAUGACUUUUUGAGUGUGGUAUAUGUAGUGGAUGAAAGUGUUAUGGCGGAGGCUAAGGCUGAGGGUCAUUUCCUAGUGGCAUUGAUAUGCGCAAGGAUGGAAGUAUGCCACCACAUAGUCAGACGCAAAGGAUCUCAUUUGACCAACUUCAAGGCGGUCACAUUCUAGACCUGCCGAGAUGGAGCGGAAGGGUUGCUGCAUGAUAUUACUUCUUUGGUGCAGCGUUUAGAGAUGGUAUGUUUUUCUUAUGUUUUCUAGAGGAUUUAAAGGCAACACACUUUUUGGCAACAAAUGUAACCAUACGUGGGAAAUUGCAUGUUCCUAGGAUUCUUCUAUACGUUUGUUGGCUACAGAGCUUGAAACUGAUCCAGCAUUUUUUUGGUUACAAGAAACUGAUCUAAUUUUGAUGUUUAAUUUAAGAAAAUUUCCAGUUGGUUUGAAAAUAAAUAAAUAAUAAACACUUCCAUUUUUGAAUUCUAACA